Molecule: ribosomal RNA, 253 nt
Filed under: uncultured bacterium
Lineage: Bacteria
Description: partial 16S ribosomal RNA
Rfam family: Bacterial small subunit ribosomal RNA
Source: RNAcentral
UACGAAGGGGGCAAGCGUUGUUCGGAAUUACUGGGCGUAAAGGGCGCGCAGGCGGCGUUCCAAGUCAGGCGUGAAAGCCCCGGGCUUAACCUGGGAAAUGCGCUUGAGACUGGAAUGCUUGAGUUCGGGAGAGGUGAGUGGAAUUCCCAGUGUAGAGGUGAAAUUCGUAGAUAUUGGGAAGAACACCGGUGGCGAAGGCGGCUCACUGGACCGAUACUGACGCUGAGGCGCGAAAGCGUGGGGAGCAAACAGG